GGGGCUACAGCUCAGUGGUAAAGCACAUGCUCAGUAUGCACCAGGUCCUGGGUUCAAUUCCCCAGUACCUCCA
Molecule: transfer RNA, 73 nt
Filed under: Camelus bactrianus (Bactrian camel)
Lineage: Eukaryota; Metazoa; Chordata; Mammalia; Artiodactyla; Camelidae
Also listed under: 2 other names
Rfam family: tRNA
About the family: Transfer RNA (tRNA) molecules are approximately 80 nucleotides in length. Their secondary structure includes four short double-helical elements and three loops (D, anti-codon, and T loops).
Source: Rfam by way of RNAcentral